ACUGUGGUGAGCGUGUCCCUGGUGGUGGUGAGGGUGAUGACUGCUGCUCGCCCGUCGGAAGCCAUCAGGGCUGCCUCGGCCGCACUCCGCUCCCGCUCCACCAGCUCGUCCUCCUGCGCCGCCACACGUGAAAAAAAGGUUGGCCCUGUCCCAGGCCGUGUUGUGUAUGGCACGAGUGAGGGUGGUGAUGUCCCCCUCACUCUCAGUCCUCGCCGCCUUCACCGCCGCCACCCGCGACCCCAGCCGCCCAACCUCACGCCCGACCUCCGCCUCUGCCCGCCACCAAAUACGGUGUCAAAAGAAGCAGGAAGCAUGAUUCAAUGGAAAGGCGUAAAGUGUUGAGAAAGACUGGGCACGUGGUAUCAAGGAAAGGUGGGGAACAUGAUAUCAAACGAGGGUGGGGAACAUGGUAUCAAGGGCAGGUGGGAAACAUGAUAUCAAAGGCAAGUGGGGAACAUGAUAUCAAAGGCAAGUGGGGAACUUGAUGUUUCUCACCGUGCUUCCUGGCGUUGUUAAGUGCAGCCAUCAGGGUACGCUCCUCUUCCCUUGCCUGCAGCAGUGUGUCCUGGGCGGCCUGCACUGCCUGCCUCGUCCUCCGCCUCUCAGCCUUCGCCUUGUCCAGGUUCACCUGCACUCACGGGUAUAAGUAUUAGUGAGCUUCAAUUCUUGGGCCAUUGUUUUCAGUCGUUGGACUCCCAUUGCAAUAGUUCUAACUGCUAGCAAUCUGUGUAAUCCUACUAGAUGGUAUGGAAACUUCAAAUGCACUCUGGUAAACAUAAUAGCACUAUGCAGUCUCAUUGUUAUGUUAUUCGUGAUCACAUAUACAGUAAUAAAGACUUGACUUCGUCAAUUAUAUAC
Long non-coding RNA from Procambarus clarkii (red swamp crayfish), 858 nucleotides. RefSeq lists it as uncharacterized. NCBI's taxonomy places the organism in Eukaryota, Metazoa, Arthropoda, Malacostraca, Decapoda, Cambaridae. The record is from RefSeq and is a predicted model, not a curated record.